Molecule: ribosomal RNA, 228 nt
Filed under: Triticum aestivum (bread wheat)
Lineage: Eukaryota; Viridiplantae; Streptophyta; Magnoliopsida; Poales; Poaceae
Description: partial small subunit ribosomal RNA
Source: RNAcentral
CCUAACAUCAUCAAAGUUAACGAUGAGGUUGGCAACUAUUUUCAGACGAAGAAGGGGCUUCGCCAAGGGGACCCCGCAUCACCCAUUUUGUUUAACAUUGUGGCUGACAUGCUAGCUACCCUUGUUGAGCGGGCUAAGGUGGCCGGUCAGGUUAGCAGCGUCAUUCCUCAUUUGGUAGAAGAGGGUUUAUCUAUCCUACAAUAUGCGGAUGACACAAUACUUUUCUUG